UCAUAAAUAAAUAAAAAUUUAAAAAAAAUUGAAACGCCACAGAGAAGACUAGCAUGGUCCUGUGUAAGGAUGACACCCAAAUUCAGGAAGCAUCCCAUAUUUUG
This is a non-coding RNA of Canis lupus familiaris (dog), 104 nucleotides long. The record is from Rfam. NCBI's taxonomy places the organism in Eukaryota, Metazoa, Chordata, Mammalia, Carnivora, Canidae.